GUGCUCGCUUCAGCAGCACAUAUACUAAAAUUGGAAUGCGACAGAGAAGAUUAGCAUGGCCCGUGCGCAAGGAUAACACGCAAAUUCGAGAAGCGUUCCAUAUUAAA
This 107-nucleotide small nuclear RNA is filed under the name Echinops telfairi (small Madagascar hedgehog). The record is from RNAcentral. Lineage: Eukaryota; Metazoa; Chordata; Mammalia; Afrosoricida; Tenrecidae.